AGAUUGAACGCUGGCGGCGUGCUUAACACAUGCAAGUCGAGCGGUAACGCGGGAGCAAUCCUGGCGACGAGCGGCGAACGGGUGAGUAAUGCUUCGGAAUCUACCCACGGGUGGGGAAUAACCAAUCGAAAGGUUGGCUAAUACCGCAUACGUCCUACGGGGGAAAGCGGGGGAUCGUAAGACCUCGCGCCGGUGGAUGAGCCGAAGUCGGAUUAGCUAGUUGGUAGGGUAACGGCCUACCAAGGCGACGAUCCGUAGCUGGUCUGAGAGGACGACCAGCCACACUGGGACUGAGACACGGCCCAGACUCCUACGGGCGGCAGC
Molecule: ribosomal RNA, 324 nt
Filed under: uncultured prokaryote
Description: bacterial SSU rRNA
Rfam family: Bacterial small subunit ribosomal RNA
Source: RNAcentral